This is an RNA transcript of Zalophus californianus (California sea lion), 2583 nucleotides long. It is a transcript of the gene named glutaryl-CoA dehydrogenase, with no coding region annotated. The transcript is spliced from 14 exons. Lineage: Eukaryota; Metazoa; Chordata; Mammalia; Carnivora; Otariidae. The record is from RefSeq and is a predicted model, not a curated record.
GGCUGCCGUGGCCCUUUUAAAAAGCAGAGCCGCGGAGGAGCCGGGUCUUAGCACACACCAAUGAGAAGCCCCGUUCGGCAUCCGCCCCUCCCACCCCCUCCAGAGGUCAAAAGUCUUACUGUGGACUGUACGGUUGGCCGUGGUUGCUCCGCUUGCCCGCCAGCUGCCCAGAUGGCCCUGAGAAGGGUCUCGGAGCGGCUGUUGAGCCGUGGACCAGGUCUGAGCUUCCUGCGCGGGUGGGGCUCGGCGGCGGCGCAAACUGAAAAGGGCGGGAAGACACAGAAAGGAGCGACUAAGUCCUCGCGUCCUGAAUUUGACUGGAGAGACCCGCUGAUGCUGGAGGGGCAGCUGACAGCGGAUGAGAUCCUCAUCAGGGACACCUUCCGCACCUAUUGCCAGGAGCGCCUCAUGCCCCGAAUCCUGCUGGCCAAUCGCAACGAAGUUUUUCACCGGGAGAUCAUCUCAGAAAUGGGGGAGCUUGGUGUGCUGGGCCCCACCGUCAAAGGGUAUGGCUGUGCUGGAGUCUCGUCUGUGGCCUAUGGGCUCCUAGCCCGAGAGCUGGAGCGGGUGGAUAGCGGCUACAGGUCAGCAAUGAGUGUCCAGUCUUCCCUUGUCAUGCACCCCAUCUACGCCUAUGGCAGCAAGGAGCAGCAGCAGAAGUACCUGCCCCGGCUGGCCAAGGGGGAGCUCCUGGGCUGCUUUGGGCUCACAGAGCCCAACCAUGGGAGUGACCCUGGCAGCAUGGAGACCAGAGCCCGCCACAACCCAUCCAACAGGAGCUACACCCUCAAUGGGACCAAGACCUGGAUCACCAAUUCACCUGUGGCUGACCUGUUUGUCGUAUGGGCUCGGUGUGAAGACAGCUGCAUUCGGGGCUUCCUGCUGGAGAAGGGGAUGCGGGGCCUCUCAGCCCCCAAGAUUGAGGGCAAGUUCUCCCUGCGGGCCUCGUCCACAGGCAUGAUCGUCAUGGACAAUGUGGAGGUGCCGGAGGAGAAUGUGCUGCCUGAUGUAUCUGGUCUGGCGGGGCCCUUCGGCUGCCUGAACAAUGCCCGGUUUGGCAUUGCCUGGGGCGUGCUCGGAGCUGCUGAAUUCUGUUUGCACACGGCCCGGCAGUACACCCUGGAUAGGAUCCAGUUUGGCGCCCCACUGGCCAGGAACCAGCUGAUUCAGAAGAAGCUGGCAGAUAUGCUCACUGAGAUCGCGCUGGGCCUUCACGCUUGCCUGCAGCUUGGACGCUUGAAGGAUCAAGACAAGGCCACUCCGGAAAUGGUCUCCCUGCUGAAGAGGAAUAACUGUGGGAAGGCCCUGGAUAUCGCCCGCCAGGCCCGAGACAUACUAGGGGGGAAUGGGAUUUCUGAUGAGUAUCACGUAAUCCGGCAUGCCAUGAACCUGGAGGCUGUGAACACCUAUGAAGGUAUCUACCCAAAAGAAAUGAAAAUGUAUGUCUCUGCCAAAAUUCAUACAAGGAUAUUUGCAGCAGCAUUACUCACAAGAACCAAAAUGCAGCAACAACUCAAAUGUCCAUCAGCCAACGAAUGGCUAAGUAAAACAUGAAAGUCAGCUUGGCAAUAGACCCAGAAUAGCCAACACAAUAUUGAAGUAGAAGAACAAAGUUGGAGGACUGAUGUUCCUUGACCUCAAGACUGACUAUAAAGCUGCAGUGAUCCAGAUGGUGUGGUACUGGUAUAGGAAUAGGUAACAGAUCAAUGGAACAGAAUAGAGAGCCCAGAAAUAGGCCCACACGUAUAUAGUCAACAGUUCUUUGACAAAAGAGCAAAGAAAUUCAAUGGAGAAAGGAGUCUUUUCAACAAAUGGUGCUGAAAUAACUGGACAGCCAUGGACAGAAGAAUGAGACACAGACCUCAUACUUUCACACAAACUAACUCAAAAUGUAGCACAGACCUAAAUGUCAAACACAAAGCUAUCAAACUCCUGGAAGAUAUCAUAGGAAAAAGAUCUAGAGGACCAUCUUAGAUGUAAUAUCAACAGAAAACAUUGGAAACAGCAAAUCAACACAACGAGAUACUACUACACACUUGUUAAAAUGGUGAAAAUCCAAAACACUGAUAACAUCAAGUGCUGACAAGGAUGUGGAGCAACAGGAACUCUCUUUCAUUGAUGACAGGCACAGCCACUUUGGAAGACAGUUUGGCAGUUUCUUACAAAACUACAUAUAUUCUUAUCACAUGAUCAAGCCAUGGCGCUCCUCGGUAUUUAUCCAAAGGAACUGAAAACUUGCGUCUGCACAAAGACCUGCACAUGAAUGUUUAUAGCAGCUUUAUUCAGAAUUGCCAAAACCUGGAAGCAACCAAGACGUCCUGCAGUAGGUGAGUGGAUAAACAAACUGUGGGACAUCCAGACAAUGGAAUAUUAUUCAGCACUAAAAAGAAAUGAGCUAUCAAGCCAUGAAAAGAUACAGAGGAACCUUAAGUGCAUACUGCUAAGUGAAAGAAAGAAAGCUCCAAGAGAGCAGAAAUUCUGAUUUGUUCACUGCUGCAUGCUCAUCAUCAUUGUCUGGCCAAAGCAGACCCUCAAGAAAUAUAUGGUGAAUAAAUAAAUGUAUGAGACAAAAACUUUUUUUGU